UACGUAGGGGGCAAGCGUUGUCCGGAAUUAUUGGGCGUAAAGCGCGCGCAGGCGGUCUUUUAAGUCAGGUGUUUAAGCCCGGGGCUCAACCCCGGUUCGCACCUGAAACUGGGAGGCUUGAGUGCAGGAGAGGAAAGUGGAAUUCCACGUGUAGCGGUGAAAUGCGUAGAGAUGUGGAGGAACACCAGUGGCGAAGGCGACUUUCUGGCCUGUAACUGACGCUGAGGCGCGACAGCGUGGGGAGCUAUCGGG
Molecule: ribosomal RNA, 252 nt
Filed under: uncultured bacterium
Lineage: Bacteria
Description: partial 16S ribosomal RNA
Rfam family: Bacterial small subunit ribosomal RNA
Source: RNAcentral